This 82-nucleotide transfer RNA is filed under the name Bacteroides sp. Its description in RNAcentral is "tRNA-Tyr". It matches the Rfam family "tRNA". From Rfam's summary of the family: Transfer RNA (tRNA) molecules are approximately 80 nucleotides in length. Their secondary structure includes four short double-helical elements and three loops (D, anti-codon, and T loops). RNAcentral also lists the same sequence under 3 other names. The record is from RNAcentral. Lineage: Bacteria; Pseudomonadati; Bacteroidota; Bacteroidia; Bacteroidales; Bacteroidaceae.
GGGCGUGUUCCAGAGUGGCCAAAUGGGGCAGACUGUAAAUCUGCUGGCUUUGCCUUCGGUGGUUCGAAUCCAUCCGCGCCCA